GAAAUAGAUACCGGGUAGUCCACGCCGUAAACGAUGAAUGCUAGGUGUUAAGGGGUUUCGAUACCCUUGGGUGCCGGAAGUUAACACAUUAAGCAUUCCGCCUGGGGAGUACGGCCGCAAGGCUGAAACUCAAAGGAAUUGACGGGGGACCCGCACAAGCAGUGGAGUAUGUGGUUUAAUUCGAAGCAACGCGAAGAACCUUACCAGGUCUUGACAUCCCCCUGACCGGUGCAGAGAUGUACCUUUCCUUCGGGACAGGGGAGACAGGUGGUGCAUGGUUGUCGUCAGCUCGUGUCGUGAGAUGUUGGGUUAAGUCCCGCAACGAGCGCAACCCUUGACUUUAGUUGCCAGCAGGUCAGGCUGGGCACUCUAGAGUGACUGCCGGUGACAAACCGGAGGAAGGUGGGGAUGACGUCAAAUCAUCAUGCCCCUUAUGACCUGGGCUACACACGUACUACAAUGGCCGGUACAACGGGAAGCGAAGGAGCGAUCUGGAGCGAAUCCUUGAAAGCCGGUCUCAGUUCGGAUUGCAGGCUGCAACUCG
RNAcentral lists this ribosomal RNA (544 nucleotides) under uncultured bacterium. Its description in RNAcentral is "bacterial SSU rRNA". It matches the Rfam family "Bacterial small subunit ribosomal RNA", at positions 775 to 1314 of the family's 1533-position model. The record is from RNAcentral.